GACGAACGCUGGCGGCGUGCUUAACACAUGCAAGUCGAACGAUGAUCCCCCGCUUGCGGGGGUGCUUCGUGGCGAACGGGUGAGUAAUACGUGAGUAACCUGCCCUUGACUCUGGGAUAAGCCUGGGAAACCGGGUCUAAUACUGGAUACUUCUUCCUGCCGCAUGGUGGGGGGUGGAAAGGGUUUUACUGUUUUUGGGUGGGCUCACGGCCUAACAGCUUGUUGGUGGAGUAAUGGCUAACCAAGGUGACGACGGGUACCCGGCCAAAGGGGGUGACCGGCCACCCUGGGGCUUAGGCGAGGCCCAGGCUCCGACGGGGGGGAGCAGGGGGGAAGAUUGCACAAUGGGCGGGAGCCGGAUGCAGCGGCGCCGCGGGUGGGAAGACGGCCUUCGGGUUGGAAACCUCAUUCAGCAGGGAAGAAGCCACAAGUGACGGUACCUGCAGAAGAAGCGCCGGCUAACUACGUG
This 469-nucleotide ribosomal RNA is filed under the name uncultured bacterium. Its description in RNAcentral is "partial 16S ribosomal RNA". It matches the Rfam family "Bacterial small subunit ribosomal RNA", at positions 28 to 507 of the family's 1533-position model. The record is from RNAcentral.